This 409-nucleotide ribosomal RNA is filed under the name uncultured bacterium. Its description in RNAcentral is "bacterial SSU rRNA". It matches the Rfam family "Bacterial small subunit ribosomal RNA", at positions 355 to 781 of the family's 1533-position model. The record is from RNAcentral.
UCGGGAAUUUUGGGCAAUGGGCGAAAGCCUGACCCAGCAACGCCGCGUGAAGGAUGAAGUAUUUCGGUAUGUAAACUUCGAAAGAAUAGGAAGAAUAAAUGACGGUACUAUUUAUAAGGUCCGGCUAACUACGUGCCAGCAGCCGCGGUAAUACGUAGGGACCAAGCGUUGUUCGGAUUUACUGGGCGUAAAGGGCGCGUAGGCGGCAAUUCAAGUCAUCUGUGAAAUCUCCGGGCUUAACUCGGAACGGUCAGAUGAUACUGCUUUGCUAGAGUGCAGAAGGGGCAAUCGGAAUUCUUGGUGUAGCGGUGAAAUGCGUAGAUAUCAAGAGGAACACCUGAGGUGAAGACGGGUUGCUGGGCUGACACUGACGCUGAGGCGCGAAAGCCAGGGGAGCAAACGGGAUUAG